AGACCGUUCUCUUUCGAGGCCGGUCAUCGGAAUGGGUACAAUUUAAACCCUUUAACGAGUAUCUAUGAGAGGGCAAGUCUGGUGCCAGCAGCCGCGGUAAUUCCAGCUCUCAAAGUGCAUAGAAUUAUUGCUGCGGUUAAAAAGCUCGUAGUUGGAUCUGUGCCAUAGGACGGGGUCUUUCCUAACGGAUUUGUACUUCGCUCCUAGGCUUUUCAGUCGGUUUUCCCGUAAUUGCAUUCAUUUGUCGUUGCGGGUGGCUGACGAGUUUACUUUGAGAAAAUCAGAGUGCUCAAUACAGGCGUCUAGCUUGAAUGAUUGUGCAUGGAAUAAUAGAAAAAGGAUUUCGGUCCUCUUUUAUUGGUUUUGUGGACUGAGAUAAUGGUUAACAGGGACAAACGGGGGCAUUCGUAUCGCUGCGUGAGAGGUGAAAUUCUUGGACCGUAGCGAGACGCCCUACUGCGAAAGCAUUUGCCAAGAAUGUCUUCAUUAAUCAAGAACGAAAGUCAGAGGUUCGAAGGCGAUCAGAUACCGCCCUAGUUCUGACCGUAAACGAUGCCAACUAGCGAUCUGCCGGUGGAUUUUUAGCCCUGGUAGGUAGCUUCCCGGAAAAAAGUCUUCCGGUUCCGGGGGAAGUAUGGUUGCAAAGCUGAAACUUAAAGGAAUUGACGGAAGGGCACCACCAGGAGUGGAGCCUGCGGCUUAAUUUGACUCAACACGGGGAAACUCACCCGGCCCGGACACCGUAAGGAUUGACAGAUUGAUAGCUCUUUCAUGAUUCGGUGGUUGGUGGUGCAUGGCCGUUCUUAGUUCGUGGAUCGAUUUGUCUGGUUUAUUCCGAUAACGAGCGAGACUCUAGCCUACUAAAUAGUAACGAGAUUGCCAUUGUCUUAGUUGCUUCUUAGAGGGAUUUUCGGUGUUUAGCCGCACGAGAUUGAGCAAUAACAGGUCUGUGAUGCCCUUAGAUGUCCGGGGCUGCACGCGCGCUACACUGGCAAAAUCAGCGUGCUGUAUCCAUUCUCGAAAGGGAUUGGUAAACCCAUGAAAAUUUGCCGUGAUCGGGAUCGGAAAUUGCAAUUAUUUUCCGUGAACGAGGAAUUCCAAGUAAGUGCGAGUCAUCAACUCGCUCUGAUUACGUCCCUGCCCUUUGUACACACCGCCCGUCGCUGCCCGGGACUGAGCCAUUUCGAGAAGAUCAGGGACCGAUGAAUUGUGGCCUCUUCGCGGAGGUUCGGUUCGUUGGAAACUGAUUUGAUCGCAGUGGCUUGAACCGGGCAA
This 1275-nucleotide ribosomal RNA is filed under the name metagenome. RNAcentral describes it as "SSU rRNA". It matches the Rfam family "Eukaryotic small subunit ribosomal RNA", at positions 483 to 1785 of the family's 1831-position model. The record is from RNAcentral.